RNAcentral lists this ribosomal RNA (254 nucleotides) under uncultured bacterium. RNAcentral's name for it is "partial 16S ribosomal RNA". It matches the Rfam family "Bacterial small subunit ribosomal RNA", at positions 523 to 776 of the family's 1533-position model. The record is from RNAcentral.
UAGCGGAGGGGGCUAGCGUUGUUCGGAAUUACUGGGCGUAAAGCGCACGUAGGCGGCUUUGUAAGUUAGAGGUGAAAGCCCGGGGCUCAACUCCGGAAUUGCCUUUAAGACUGCAUCGCUAGAAUUGUGGAGAGGUAAGUGGAAUUCCGAGUGUAGAGGUGAAAUUCGUAGAUAUUCGGAAGAACACCAGUGGCGAAGGCGACUUACUGGACACAUAUUGACGCUGAGGUGCGAAAGCGUGGGGAGCAAACGGG